GACGUAGGGCGCGAGCGUUGUCCGGAUUUAUUGGGCGUAAAGAGCGUGUAGGCGGCCAGACAAGUCUGCUGUGAAAACUCGAGGCUCAACCUCGAGCUGUCGGUGGAAACUGUCUGGCUAGAGUCCGGAAGAGGAGAGUGGAAUUCCUGGUGUAGCGGUGAAAUGCGCAGAUAUCAGGAAGAACACCUAUGGCGAAGGCAGCUCUCUGGGACGGUACUGACGCUGAGACGCGAAAGCGUGGGGAGCGAACAGG
Molecule: ribosomal RNA, 253 nt
Filed under: uncultured bacterium
Lineage: Bacteria
Description: partial 16S ribosomal RNA
Rfam family: Bacterial small subunit ribosomal RNA
Source: RNAcentral